RNAcentral lists this ribosomal RNA (547 nucleotides) under uncultured bacterium. Its description in RNAcentral is "bacterial SSU rRNA". It matches the Rfam family "Bacterial small subunit ribosomal RNA", at positions 355 to 895 of the family's 1533-position model. The record is from RNAcentral.
UAGGGAAUCUUCGGCAAUGGGGGCAACCCUGACCGAGCAACGCCGCGUGAGUGAAGAAGGUUUUCGGAUCGUAAAGCUCUGUUGUAAGAGAAGAACGAGUGUGAGAGUGGAAAGUUCACACUGUGACGGUAACUUACCAGAAAGGGACGGCUAACUACGUGCCAGCAGCCGCGGUAAUACGUAGGUCCCGAGCGUUAUCCGGAUUUAUUGGGCGUAAAGCGAGCGCAGGCGGUUAGAUAAGUCUGAAGUUAAAGGCUGUGGCUUAACCAUAGUACGCUUUGGAAACUGUUUAACUUGAGUGCAGAAGGGGAGAGUGGAAUUCCUAGUGUAGCGGUGAAAUGCGUAGAGAUUAGGAGGAACACCAGUGGCGAAGGCGGCUUUUUGGCCUGUAACUGACACUGAGGCGCGAAAGCGUGGGGAGCAAACAGGAUUAGAUACCCUGGUAGUCCACGCCGUAAACGAUGAGUGCUAAGUGUUGGUCUCAUAAGAGAUCAGUGCUGCAGCUAACGCAUUAAGCACUCCGCCUGGGGAGUACGACCGCAAGGUU